AAGGAAGGUGGAUGUUUAAAGAGGGAUAAUUGGAUAUAAAGGAAGGUGGAUGUUUAAAGAGAGGAAUAAUUGGAUAUGAAGGAAGGUGGAUGUUUAAAGAGAGGGAUAAUUGGAUAUAAAGGAAGGUGGAUGUUUAAAGAGAGGGAUAAUUGGAUAUAAAGGAAGGUGGAUGUUUAAAGAGAGGGAUAAUUGGAUAUAAAGGAAGGUGGAUGUUUAAAGAGAGGGAUAAUUGGAUAUAAAGGAAGGUGGAUGUUUAAAGAGAGGAAUAAUUGGAUAUAAAGGAAGGUGGAUGUUUAAAGAGAGGAAUAAUUGGAUAUAAAGGAAGGUGGAUGUUUAAAGAGAGGAAUAAUUGGAUAUGAAGGAAGGUGGAUGUUUAAAGAGAGGAAUAAUUGGAUAUAAAGGAAGGUGGAUGUUUAAAGAGAGGAAUAAUUGGAUAUGAAGGAAGGUGGAUGUUUAAAGAGAGGAAUAAUUGGAUAUAAAGGAAGGUGGAUGUUUAAAGAGAGGAAUAAUUGGAUAUAAAGGAAGGUGGAUGUUUAAAGAGAGGAAUAAUUGGAUAUAAAGGAAGGUGGAUGUUUAAAGAGAGGAAUAAUUGGAUAUAAAGGAAGGUGGAUGUUUAAAGAGGAAUAAUUGGAUAUAAAGGAAGGUGGAUGUUUAAAGAGAGGAAUAAUUGGAUAUGGAUAAAAAUGACGCAUAGAAGUGGAGAGAAAAUAAAGGAAAAAAAGGAAAAAAUCAGGAAAAUAAUAAGACAUGAAAAAAGAGACUAUCACAAACAAACACGCAAACAAACACACAAACAAAGCCUUACUAAUCAUGACCACUCACACUUAGAAGCAAAAACGAGAAAAAAAAGAAAAAAUAGGAAAAUGAGAACAGAAAAAAAAAAAAUUGACACAAAAACAAACAAAGACCACCACCUACAAACAAACACACUAACACACAAACACACACAAACAAACAAUUUAAAGCAGAAAAGAGAAGAAAAAAAGAAAAAUGAAAGAAAAAAAAGACAAAGAAAAAAUAAGACACAAAAAACAAACAGAGACCACCACCAAACAAACACACUAACACACAAACAGACAAUUUAAAGCAGAAAAGAGAAGAAAAAAGAAGAAAAAAUAGAUGAAAAAAUAGUAAAGAAAAAUAACAGAAAAAAACAGGAGAACGAGA
Long non-coding RNA from Eriocheir sinensis (Chinese mitten crab), 1167 nucleotides. RefSeq lists it as uncharacterized. NCBI's taxonomy places the organism in Eukaryota, Metazoa, Arthropoda, Malacostraca, Decapoda, Varunidae. The record is from RefSeq and is a predicted model, not a curated record. The transcript has 4 exons.